AGUGAACGCUGGCGGUAGGCCUAACACAUGCAAGUCGAACGGCAGCACAGUAAGAGCUUGCUCUUACGGGUGGCGAGUGGCGGACGGGUGAGGAAUACAUCGGAAUCUACUUUUUCGUGGGGGAUAACGUAGGGAAACUUACGCUAAUACCGCAUACGACCUACGGGUGAAAGCAGGGGAUCUUCGGACCUUGCGCGAUUGAAUGAGCCGAUGUCGGAUUAGCUAGUUGGCGGGGUAAAGGCCCACCAAGGCGACGAUCCGUAGCUGGUCUGAGAGGAUGAUCAGCCACACUGGAACUGAGACACGGUCCAGACUCCUACGGGAGGCAGCAGUGGGGAAUAUUGGACAAUGGGCGCAAGCCUGAUCCGGCCAUACCGCGUGGGUGAAGAAGGCCUUCGGGUUGUAAAGCCCUUUUGUUGGGAAAGAAGAGCAGCAGGUUAAUACCCCGCUGUUCUGACGGUACCCAAAGAAUAAGCACCGGCUAACUUCGU
This 491-nucleotide ribosomal RNA is filed under the name uncultured bacterium. Its description in RNAcentral is "partial 16S ribosomal RNA". It matches the Rfam family "Bacterial small subunit ribosomal RNA", at positions 29 to 506 of the family's 1533-position model. The record is from RNAcentral.